RNAcentral lists this ribosomal RNA (372 nucleotides) under uncultured bacterium. Its description in RNAcentral is "bacterial SSU rRNA". It matches the Rfam family "Bacterial small subunit ribosomal RNA", at positions 28 to 402 of the family's 1533-position model. The record is from RNAcentral.
GACGAACGCUGGCGGCGUGCUUAACACAUGCAAGUCGAGCGGAAAGGCCUCUUCGGGGGUACUCGAGCGGCGAACGGGUGAGUAACACGUGAGUAACCUGCCCUCAACUUCGGGAUAAGCCUGGGAAACUGGGUCUAAUACCGGAUAUGACUACUUCGGGCAUCCGAUGGUGGUGGAAAGUUUUUCGGUUGGGGAUGGGCUCGCGGCCUAUCAGCUUGUUGGUGGGGUAGUGGCCUACCAAGGCGACGACGGGUAGCCGGCCUGAGAGGGCGACCGGCCACACUGGGACUGAGACACGGCCCAGACUCCUACGGGAGGCAGCAGUGGGGAAUAUUGCGCAAUGGACGAAAGUCUGACGCAGCGACGCCGCGU